This 29-nucleotide non-coding RNA is filed under the name Rattus norvegicus (Norway rat). The record is from RNAcentral. Lineage: Eukaryota; Metazoa; Chordata; Mammalia; Rodentia; Muridae.
UCUCAAGAAGCAGGACACAUUACGAUUUA